Molecule: ribosomal RNA, 600 nt
Filed under: Armadillidium vulgare (common pillbug)
Lineage: Eukaryota; Metazoa; Arthropoda; Malacostraca; Isopoda; Armadillidiidae
Description: 16S ribosomal RNA
Rfam family: Bacterial large subunit ribosomal RNA
Source: RNAcentral
AAAAAAAAAUAAACAAAAUAAUAAACUAAGCAAACCUAAUCUUUGCCUGUUUAACAAAAACAUCUUCUGAAUUUAAUAUUUCAGGUAGAGCCUGCUCACUGAUUUAAAGAGCCGCAGUAUCCUAACUGUGCUAAGGUAGCAUAAUCAUUAGUUACUUAAUUUGUAACUAGAAUGAACGGCCUGACAAAAGAAUAACUUUAUUAUUUUUUGGUUAAAUUAAUCUAAGAAUAAAAAAGUUCUUAUAAAUUAGAAAGACGAUAAGACCCUAAAACCUUAUAUAUAAAUAUUUACUGGGGCGGUAACUUAUUCUCCAUAAGUUAAAAUAACAUAAUGAAUGAUAUUAUCUAUUUAAUUAAUUCAAAAAGGUACUUUAGGGAUAACAGCAUAAUUUUUAUUUAGAGUUCUUAUCGACAUAAAAGAUUAUGACCUCGAUGUUGAAUUGAUUUAACUAUUUUAGGCAGCCCUUAAAUUAGUAGGUCUGUUCGACCUUUAAAUGAUCACAUGAUUUGAGUUCAAACCGGCGUGAGCCAGGUUGGUUUCUAUCUUCUAUUUUUUGAUAACUUAGCUAGUACGUAAGGAUUUUUAAGUAUUAAUUUUUUU